This 466-nucleotide ribosomal RNA is filed under the name uncultured bacterium. Its description in RNAcentral is "partial 16S ribosomal RNA". It matches the Rfam family "Bacterial small subunit ribosomal RNA", at positions 28 to 507 of the family's 1533-position model. The record is from RNAcentral.
GAUGAACGCUGGCGGCGUGCUUAACACAUGCAAGUCGAACGGAAAGGCCCAAGCUUGCUUGGGUGCUCGAGUGGCGAACGGGUGAGUAACACGUGGGUGAUCUGCCCUGCACUUUGGGAUAAGCCUGGGAAACUGGGUCUAAUACCGGAUAGGACCAUCGUUUAGUGUCGGUGGUGGAAAGUUUUUCGGUGUGGGAUGAGCUCGCGGCCUAUCAGCUUGUUGGUGGGGUAAUGGCCUACCAAGGCGUCGACGGGUAGCCGGCCUGAGAGGGUGUACGGCCACAUUGGGACUGAGAUACGGCCCAGUCUCCUACGGGAGGCAGCAGUGGGGAAUAUUGCACAAGGGGCGCAAGCCUGAUGCAGCGACGCCGCGUGGGGGAUGACGGCCUUCGGGUUGUAAACUCCUUUCGCCAAGGACGAAGCGUUUUGUGACGGUACUUGGAGAAGAAGCACCGGCUAACUACGUG